Molecule: ribosomal RNA, 371 nt
Filed under: uncultured organism
Description: bacterial SSU rRNA
Rfam family: Bacterial small subunit ribosomal RNA
Source: RNAcentral
CGAAGGGGGCUAGCGUUGUUCGGAAUUACUGGGCGUAAAGGGCGCGUAGGCGGUCCUGAUCGUCGGAUGUGAAAGGCCUGGGCUCAACCUGGGAACUGCAUCCGAUACGGCGGGACUGGAGUGUGGGAGAGGUUGGUGGAAUUCCCAGUGUAGAGGUGAAAUUCGUAGAUAUUGGGAAGAACACCGGUGGCGAAGGCGGCCAACUGGACCACAACUGACGCUGAGGCGCGAAAGCGUGGGGAGCAAACAGGAUUAGAUACCCUGGUAGUCCACGCUGUAAACGACGCGUGCUAGACGUUGGGAGACCUAGUCUCUCGGUGUCGUCGCUAACGCUUUAAGCACGCCGCCUGGGGAGUACGGCCGCAAGGUUA